UCCGUAGGCGGUUUGAUAAGUCAGUGGUGAAAGCCCUACGCUUAACGUAGGAACGGCCAUUGAUACUGUCAGACUUGAAUUAUUAGGAAGUAACUAGAAUAUGUAGUGUAGCGGUGAAAUGCUUAGAGAUUACAUGGAAUACCAAUUGCGAAGGCAGGUUACUACUAAUGGAUUGACGCUGAUGGACGAAAGCGUGGGUAGCGAACAGGAUUAGAUACCCUGGUAGUCCACGCCGUAAACGAUGGAUACUAGCUGUUCGGAGCAAUCUGAGUGGCUAAGCGAAAGUGAUAAGUAUCCCACCUGGGGAGUACGUUCGCAAGAAUGAA
RNAcentral lists this ribosomal RNA (326 nucleotides) under uncultured Bacteroidota bacterium. Its description in RNAcentral is "bacterial SSU rRNA". It matches the Rfam family "Bacterial small subunit ribosomal RNA", at positions 568 to 898 of the family's 1533-position model. The record is from RNAcentral. Lineage: Bacteria; Pseudomonadati; Bacteroidota.